GAAAGGUGAAAAGAACCGCGGGAGCGGAGUGAAAGAGAACCUGAAACCGUAUGCCUACAAGAAGUCAGAGCCCGUUAAGGGGUGAUGGCGUGCCUUUUGUAGAAUGAACCGGCGAGUUGCGACAGACUGCGAGGUUAAGGAGGAAAGACCGGAGCCGAAGCGAAAGCGAGUCUUAAGAGGGCGAAAGUAGGAUGUUGCAGACCCGAAACCGGGUGAUCUAGCCAUGAGCAGGUUGAAGUUGAGGUGAAACUCAAUGGAGGACCGAACCGACUACCGUUGAAAAGUUAGCGGAUGACUUGUGGCUAGGGGAGAAAUUCCAAUCGAACCCGGAGAUAGCUGGUUCUCCCCGAAAUAGCUUUAGGGCUAGCGUCGGAAAGAACCUUAGUGAAGGUAGAGCACUGAAUGUGUGAUGGCCCCAUCCCGGGGUACUGAAUACAAUCAAACUGCGAAUGUCAUUAAGGAUGUCCGGCAGUCAGACUGUGAGUGAUAAGGUCCAUGGUCAAGAGGGAAACAGCCCAGACCGCCAGUUAAGGUCCCAAAAUACAGGCUAAGUGGAAAAGGAUGUGGGGAUGCCCAGACAACUAGGAGGUUGGCUCAGAAGCAGCCAUCCUUUAAAGAGUGCGUAACAGCUCACUAGUCGAGUGACCCUGCGCCGAAAAUGUACCGGGGCUAAGCCUGAUACCGAAACUGCGGAUUGUAGGAAACUAUAGUGGUAGGGGAGCGUUGUAUACGAGCAGAAGCCGUACCGUGAGGAGCGGUGGAUUGUAUAGAAGUGAGAAUGCCGGUGUGAGUAGCGAGAUGUAGGUGAGAAUCCUACACACCGAAAGCCCAAGGAUUCCAGGGGAAGGUUCGUCCGCCCUGGGUAAGUCGGGACCUAACGCGAGGCCGAAAGGCGUAGUGGAUGGAAAGCAGGCGAAAGAUUCCUGCACCCGUAUAUGGAGCGAAGGAGUGACGGAGACGGAUAGUGUGACCCUCUUAAUGGAUUGAGGGCGAAGCGAAGCGGCUGGUUACCAGGCAAAUCCGGUAACUGAAAGGCUAGAGCGUGACAGGUAAGCGAAAUCUUAGGAAAGUAGCGAAGCACAUGAUGACGGCUUCCAGGAAAAGCUUCUGGCAAUGCAUAUGCGGCCCGUACCAAAACCGACACAGGUGGGCAGGGAGAGAAUCCCGAGGUGAGCGAGAGAACUGUUGCCAAGGAACUCGGCAAAAUGACUCCGUAAGUUAGCGAGAAGGAGUGCUUAAGCAAUUAAGCCGCAGUGAAGAGGCCCAAGCGACUGUUUAACUAAAACACAGCUCUCUGCGAAGUCGCAAGACGAAGUAUAGGGGGUGACACCUGCCCGGUGCUGGAAGGUUAAGAGGAUCUGUUAAGAGCGAUCUGAAGCAGUGAUCCGAAGCCCCAGUGAACGGCGGCCGUAACUAUAACGGUCCUAAGGUAGCGAAAUUCCUUGUCAGGUAAGUUCUGACCCGCACGAAAGGUGUAACGAUUUGGGCGCUGUCUCGGCAGCAGACUCGGUGAAAUCUUAGUACCUGUGAAAAUGCAGGUUACCCGCAACUAGACGGAAAGACCCCAUGGAGCUUUACUGCAGCCUGAUAUUGAAUUCUGGUCAUACAUGUACAGGAUAGGUGGGAGACAAAGAGACGUGCACGCCAGUGUACGAGGAGUCGCCGUUGGGAUACCACUCUUGUGUGACCGGGGUUCUAACCUGGUAUCGAGAACAGGUACGGGGAGAGUGUCAGGUGGGCAGUUUGACUGGGGCGGUCGCCUCCCAAAGAGUAACGGAGGCGCCCAAAGGUACGCUCAGAUUGGAUGGAAACCAAUCGUCGAGUGCAAUUGCAGAAGCGUGCUUGACUGUGAGACAGACAAGUCGAACAGGGACGAAAGUCGGGAAUAGUGAUCCGGCGGUGCCGAAUGGAAGGGCCGUCGCUCAACGGAUAAAAGCUACCCUGGGGAUAACAGGCUGAUCUCGCCCAAGAGUUCACAUCGACGGCGAGGUUUGGCACCUCGAUGUCGGCUCAUCGCAUCCUGGAGCUGGAUUCGGUUCCAAGGGUUGGGCUGUUCGCCCAUUAAAGCGGUACGCGAGCUGGGUUCAGAACGUCGUGAGACAGUUCGGUCCCUAUCUGUUGUGGGCGAAGGAGAUCUGCGGAGAGCUGUCCUCAGUACGAGAGGACCGGGAUGGACCUACCGCUGGUGCACCGGUUGUUCCGCCAGGGGCAUAGCCGGGUAGCUAAGUAGGGAAAGGAUAAGCGCUGAAAGCAUCUAAGCACGAAGCCUACUCCAAGAUGAGAUCUCCCAUUCG
RNAcentral lists this ribosomal RNA (2294 nucleotides) under human gut metagenome. RNAcentral's name for it is "bacterial LSU rRNA". It matches the Rfam family "Bacterial large subunit ribosomal RNA", at positions 509 to 2820 of the family's 2925-position model. The record is from RNAcentral.